This is a long non-coding RNA of Melitaea cinxia (Glanville fritillary), 746 nucleotides long. RefSeq lists it as uncharacterized. The record is from RefSeq and is a predicted model, not a curated record. NCBI's taxonomy places the organism in Eukaryota, Metazoa, Arthropoda, Insecta, Lepidoptera, Nymphalidae. The transcript is spliced from 3 exons.
GUCUGUCAAACGUCAAGGAUUGGUCGUAGUGUCAUUGAUUAUUUUAUUUUCGGUUAUCCACUCGAGAUGUGAUCACCUAAAGUUAUUUUUUCGUCCGUUGAGCUUGAGCCCAUAUUUUUUAAAUUUUAAUAUUAAUAAUGGCGUCUCCAUAAAUGUGACUACCGUCAUGUAAAAAUGCAAUCGACUUAUCCGCUUAUUAAAAGUUAUUAAAAAUUAUUUAAAUGUUCCAUAUUGAUAACAAGAUUACCCUCGUUUGAACUCACACGCCUAUGCUGUGGGGUUUAGUUAUUCUAAUUAGAAUUUUUUAACAGUACUGGAAGCAUACUUAUUCAAAACAUCUAUUGAUUCAUGGUAUCACUCUGAAAUACUGUAAGGAAUGGGAAGAUCCAAUUAUUGUGACGCUGGCAAAUAGAUGGACUCUCAUCGACUAUCGCCUAUCACUCACAUCCAGAACAUAUCCGGUAUUGUGAUAUUUAUUUUCAGUUGUAUAGAAAUUUAAAGACUAAAAGUAGUGAAUUGUGUAUAAUAUAUAUGUAGUAAUUUAUAAAUAGCAAGUAAUAGUAAUAGUUUUGUAUUCUAAAUUAUUAUUGAAUCUGGUAAAUGUUUCUUUUGGUUAAAUUUAGUAUAUUAAGUAACUGUUUGGAAACCCAUUUAUUGUAGAACCACCCUCUUUUUCUUUUUUUUUUUUUGUAGCUUAACUAUAUUUCACCUUUUCUUUAGAUAUAAUAAAUCAUUAGUAAAUCUGU